UGCGAAAUUUUCAAAGUCUUG
This is a non-coding RNA of Caenorhabditis elegans, 21 nucleotides long. NCBI's taxonomy places the organism in Eukaryota, Metazoa, Nematoda, Chromadorea, Rhabditida, Rhabditidae. The record is from Ensembl.